AAGGAACAAACCAGAGUGGGGAGUGGGAGGAUGUCAUUCAGGAUGUAGAUAGACCUAAUUACAGUAGCUGCUCCAGAGACAUAUUGUCUAGCAAUCCAGGAGAGGCAGAUGGGAAGCCAUUCCAGAGAGCCUGUCCAUCACAGAAAAAUGUUUCCAGGCUUCAGCCUCUCCAACCUCCCAAAACUGGGACAAUCAGCAGCUUCUGCCUGCUCAGCCGAAGUGGCCAGACUGACUCUAGUGGGAAAAUGCAGCCCUGCAGAUAAUUUGGCACUAAGCCAUAAUACAGGUUAAAACAGCAAUACAGACUGCUUUUUCACUAAUGGGAACUCUUCACUCACCAGCAUCCUGGCUCUGAACCUCAGCAUCUGUUCCUGCUCCUGUCUGCAAGCACAGGAUCUACACAUUUGGAAGUGCUUCAGAAACAAACAUGAGCAUAACACCUCUCCGCUCUUUAUUAAAGCAUGCAUGUCUUUUUUCAAACUAUGUGUAAGUCUGAAAAAAGACGGUCUGCUUUUAGAAUCACAUUAAAGAUGCAGUGAUUUAA
Molecule: long non-coding RNA, 544 nt
Organism: Crotalus tigris (Tiger rattlesnake)
Lineage: Eukaryota; Metazoa; Chordata; Lepidosauria; Squamata; Viperidae
Exons: 3
Source: RefSeq, a predicted model, not a curated record